This 116-nucleotide non-coding RNA is filed under the name unclassified sequences. Its description in RNAcentral is "SAM-I-IV sequence". The stretch from base 1 to 96 matches the Rfam family "SAM-I/IV (S-adenosyl methionine) riboswitch aptamer". From Rfam's summary of the family: It is found upstream of a number of genes which code for proteins involved in methionine or cysteine biosynthesis. It has been found mostly in the order Actinomycetales. The record is from Rfam by way of RNAcentral.
UACAUGCAUCAAGACGGCAAUAGUCCAGCAACCGAGCCCACCCGGGUCACGGUGCUAAAAAGAUGUGGUCUCUCGGAGACAAAAAUACUCGGUGAGACAAAAAUCUGAAUCUUGGU